Molecule: non-coding RNA, 28 nt
Filed under: Rattus norvegicus (Norway rat)
Lineage: Eukaryota; Metazoa; Chordata; Mammalia; Rodentia; Muridae
Source: RNAcentral
UGAAGAAACAAAGGGCAGCCCCAGUGAC